GCUCUGGGGCCACCAUGGUCACGCUGGGGCCACCCCAGCUGCACGGUGGCCACCAUGGCCGUUCUGGUGGUCCAUCCCUCCCCCCCCCGGCUCUGACCCCCCCUGUUUCCCCCCCAGGGUGAGCGCAAAGGCACCAACAAGUACUACCCCCCCGACUUCGACCCGGCCAAGGUGAGGGGGCAAAUGGGGGGCUACGGGGGCAACUGUGGGGCUGGGGGGGCAACUGUGGGGCUGGGGGGGUAACCGGGGGACUGGGGGGGCAACCGUGGGGCUGGCGGUGGCCACUGACCCCCCCUCUGCUUCCUGCCCCCCCCACCAGCAUGGCUCCCUCAACAAGUACCACGGUAGCCACCCGCUGCGGGAGCGGGCCCGCAAGCUGUCCCAGGGCAUCCUCAUCAUCAGGUUCGAGAUGCCCUUUAACAUCUGGUGCGACGGCUGCAAGAACCACAUCGGGAUGGGGGUGCGCUACAACGCGGAGAAGAAGAAGGUGGGCACCUACUACACCACCCCCAUCUACAGGUGGGUGCUUUGUCCCCGUCCCCCCACACCC
This 550-nucleotide long non-coding RNA is filed under the name Calidris pygmaea (Spoon-billed sandpiper). RNAcentral describes it as "lncRNA (ENSCPGG00000009846.1)". The record is from RNAcentral. Lineage: Eukaryota; Metazoa; Chordata; Aves; Charadriiformes; Scolopacidae.